ACGGAGAACUAGAUAGACAUAAGUGCUGGUAAGUAAAGAUGCUGAUAAGUAAGGAGCUGACAAGUAUAGAUGCAGGUAAAUAAAACAGUAGCUACAAUAAACAGAUAAGGAUGUACUGGAAAUAAACACUACAGCUACUGUAUGCAUGCGUCAACUGACGAUAACCUCAAAAGUACCCAAUCUCGCUGCCCUAUUGGUCCGAAGACCUCAGGCCCAUGCCACACUGCUCAACCUGUACCUGACCCUCGCAAUGAAGCCCCUGGGUCAGAAGCACAGUACCUGACCCUCGCAAUGAAGCCCCUGGGUCAGAAGCAUAUACCCUCGCAAUAAAGCCCCUGGGCUCACGGGUUGGCAAUCCAACCACUUUUCCGGAAAAGAACACCCUCUUGCGGUGGAUCAGACCGCUGGUGUUCGUGAAAUGCGUACCUGGAGUGGCGAUCAAUGUAGUAUGCUCAAAGAUCUUCCAUCGGCAACUAGCCGACAAUCCAGCCCCUCAGGGCACAUCGACCGUAUAGGUCAUCAGCAACUAGUCGGCUACGUAUGUCAAGAUAGAACUGUAGCAACUCGACCGAAUAGAUCAUAGAUAUCAAAAUAGGGGAACC
Molecule: long non-coding RNA, 602 nt
Filed under: Ananas comosus (pineapple)
Lineage: Eukaryota; Viridiplantae; Streptophyta; Magnoliopsida; Poales; Bromeliaceae
Description: long non-coding RNA (ACOM_LNC008758)
Source: RNAcentral